AAAUUGAAGAGUUUGAUCAUGGCUCAGAUUGAACGCUGGCGGCAGGCCUAACACAUGCAAGUCGAACGGUAACAGGAAGCAGCUUGCUGCUUCGCUGACGAGUGGCGGACGGGUGAGUAAUGUCUGGGAAACUGCCUGAUGGAGGGGGAUAACUACUGGAAACGGUAGCUAAUACCGCAUAAUGUCGCAAGACCAAAGAGGGGGACCUUCGGGCCUCUUGCCAUCGGAUGUGCCCAGAUGGGAUUAGCUUGUUGGUGGGGUAACGGCUCACCAAGGCGACGAUCCCUAGCUGGUCUGAGAGGAUGACCAGCCACACUGGAACUGAGACACGGUCCAGACUCCUACGGGAGGCA
Molecule: ribosomal RNA, 353 nt
Filed under: Shigella sonnei
Lineage: Bacteria; Pseudomonadati; Pseudomonadota; Gammaproteobacteria; Enterobacterales; Enterobacteriaceae
Description: bacterial SSU rRNA
Rfam family: Bacterial small subunit ribosomal RNA
Source: RNAcentral